AUUGAACGCUGGCGGAAUGCUUUACACAUGCAAGUCGAACGGCAGCACGGACUUCGGUCUGGUGGCGAGUGGCGAACGGGUGAGUAAUACAUCGGAACGUGCCCAGUCGUGGGGGAUAACGUAGCGAAAGCUACGCUAAUACCGCAUACGAUCUACGGAUGAAAGCGGGGGAUCGCAAGACCUCGCGCGAUUGGAGCGGUCGAUGGCAGAUUAGGUAGUUGGUGGGGUAAAGGCUCACCAAGCCGACGAUCUGUAGCUGGUCUGAGAGGACGACCAGCCACACUGGGACUGAGACACGGCCCAGACUCCUACGGGAGGCAGCAGUGGGGAAUUUUGGACAAUGGGCGCAAGCCUGAUCCAGCCAUUCCGCGUGCAGGAUGAAGGCCCUCGGGUUGUAAACUGCUUUUGUACAGAACGAAAAGGCUCUGGUUAAUACCUGGGGCUCAUGACGGUACUGUAAGAAUAAGCACCGGCUAACUACGUGCCAGCCGCCGCAGUAA
RNAcentral lists this ribosomal RNA (500 nucleotides) under uncultured bacterium. RNAcentral's name for it is "partial 16S ribosomal RNA". It matches the Rfam family "Bacterial small subunit ribosomal RNA", at positions 30 to 523 of the family's 1533-position model. The record is from RNAcentral.